Molecule: transfer RNA, 82 nt
Filed under: Chitinophagales bacterium
Lineage: Bacteria; Pseudomonadati; Bacteroidota; Chitinophagia; Chitinophagales
Description: tRNA-Leu
Rfam family: tRNA
About the family: Transfer RNA (tRNA) molecules are approximately 80 nucleotides in length. Their secondary structure includes four short double-helical elements and three loops (D, anti-codon, and T loops).
Source: RNAcentral
GCCCGAGUGGCGAAAUUGGUAGACGUGCUCGUUUCAGGUGCGAGUGCCGCAAGGCAUGGGGGUUCGAGUCCCUUCUCGGGUA